ACGAGCAGUAUGCUUGGGAGUCCUCUG
This 27-nucleotide non-coding RNA is filed under the name Cricetulus griseus (Chinese hamster). The record is from RNAcentral. Lineage: Eukaryota; Metazoa; Chordata; Mammalia; Rodentia; Cricetidae.